CUACGGAGGGUGCGAGCGUUAAGCGGAAUUACUGGGCGUAAAGGGUGCGUAGGCGGCUUGAUAAGUCGGAUGUGAAAGCCCCGGGCUUAACCUGGGAAUUGCAUUCGAUACUGUCAGGCUAGAGUAUGUCAGAGGUUGGCGGAAUUCCUGGUGUAGCGGUGAAAUGCGUAGAUAUCAGGAGGAACACCAGUGGCGAAGGCGGCUAACUGAGACAAUACUGACGCUGAGGCACGAAAGCGUGGGGAGCAAACAGGAUUAGAAACCCUAGUAGUCC
This 274-nucleotide ribosomal RNA is filed under the name uncultured bacterium. RNAcentral describes it as "partial 16S ribosomal RNA". It matches the Rfam family "Bacterial small subunit ribosomal RNA", at positions 523 to 796 of the family's 1533-position model. The record is from RNAcentral.